Long non-coding RNA from Nematostella vectensis (starlet sea anemone), 761 nucleotides. RefSeq lists it as uncharacterized. Lineage: Eukaryota; Metazoa; Cnidaria; Anthozoa; Actiniaria; Edwardsiidae. The transcript has 2 exons. The record is from RefSeq and is a predicted model, not a curated record.
GUAAAAGGAGGAUAACAAACAUCCUUAUCCAUGGAUUAACUUGUAAGGGGGGAAACGGAGAAUAACAAACAUCCUGAUCCAUGUAUUAACAGGUAAGGAGGUAAAAGGAGGAUAACAAACAUCCUUAUCCAUGGAUUAACUUGUAAGGGGGUAAACGGAGGAUAACAAACAUCCUUAUCCAUGUAUUAACUUGUAAGACGAAAAAAGGGGAAUAACAAACAUCCUGAUCCAUGUAUUAACAGGUAAGGAGGUAAAAGGAGGAUAACAAACAUCCUUAUCCAUGGAUUAACUUGUAAGGGGGAAAACGGAGAAUAACAAACAUCCUGAUCCAUGUAUUAACAGGUAAGGCCGAAAGUACGGUUGAGCAAACGAUUAUUUUAAGUUCGCCUGUGCAGGGGCUCGUUUCUCGAAACACCCGAGAAUUCCCGGCCCCGAACACGUUUUAUUUCUUAAAUUUGAAAAGCUGGCUAAUCCUAUAAAAUUUAUGGUAUCUAAAUGUGUUGAAAUAUCGUCGAAUUUUACCACAAAGAUUCAUGUGAAGGAUGGUUCUCUUUAUAGACUUAUAGGUUUUGAUCUUUCCCGAACUUCUAUGGCUUAAAUAAGUUCUCGGGACCUCGCAGUCACCCGAGACUUUUCGGGUAACUUUUUGGCUUCAGCAAAACUUCGAAAAUAGCCCUAUUGAGCGUAAUCAUUUGGAAUACGAACCAAGAGGAAGUUUAAACUAUUCUAAAACAUGAAAGCGGUUCUCCAAAAUGAAAACA